AAACAACAAUUAAAUUACCUAUUGUUCGCCCAAUAACUACGAGUAAAAACUUAAAAUUUAAAAGACUUGACGGUACUUCACAACAACCUAGAGGAGCCUGUCUAAUAACCGAUACCCCACGAUAAACCCGACCCACUCUAGCCUACAGUCUAUAUACCGCCGUCGCCAGCCUACCUUGUGAAAGAAACAAAGUGGGCCCAACAACAAUACAUUAACACGACAGGUCGAGGUGUAACUUAUGAGCGGGUCAAAGAUGGGCUACAUUUUCUACAACAGAAAAUACGAAUCAACUAUGAAAUUAGAAACUAAAGGCGGAUUUAGCAGUAAGCUAACGACAAAAUACUUAGCUAAAACUAUAGCAAUGAAGUGUGUACACACCGCCCGUCAUCCCUGUAAAACACCCCUACCAUACAUAAUCUACCUAAUACCCAAAACAGGGCAAGUCGUAACACGGUAAGCGUACUGGAAAGUGCGCUUAGAA
RNAcentral lists this ribosomal RNA (481 nucleotides) under Plagiopholis blakewayi (Blakeways mountain snake). RNAcentral describes it as "partial 12S ribosomal RNA". It matches the Rfam family "Bacterial small subunit ribosomal RNA", at positions 801 to 1522 of the family's 1533-position model. Lineage: Eukaryota; Metazoa; Chordata; Lepidosauria; Squamata; Colubridae. The record is from RNAcentral.